This 460-nucleotide ribosomal RNA is filed under the name uncultured bacterium. RNAcentral describes it as "partial 16S ribosomal RNA". It matches the Rfam family "Bacterial small subunit ribosomal RNA", at positions 338 to 795 of the family's 1533-position model. The record is from RNAcentral.
CCUACGGGUGGCAGCAGUGAGGAAUAUUGGUCAAUGGACGAGAGUCUGAACCAGCCAAGUAGCGUGAAGGAUGACUGCCCUAUGGGUUGUAAACUUCUUUUAUAUGGGAAUAAAAUGUUCCACGUGUGGGAUUUUGUAUGUACCAUAUGAAUACGGAUCGGCUAACUCCGUGCCAGCAGCCGCGGUAAUACGGAGGAUCCGAGCGUUAUCCGGAUUUAUUGGGUGUAAAGGGAGCGUAGGUGGAUUGUUAAGUCAGUUGUGAAAGUUUGCGGCUCAACCGUAAAAUUGCAGUUGAAACUGGCAGUCUUGAGUACAGUAGAGGUGGGCGGAAUUCGGGGUGUAGCGGUGAAAUGCUUAGAUAUAACGAAGAACUCCGAUUGCGAAGGCAGUUCACUGGACUGCAACUGACACUGAGGCUCGAAAGUGUGGGUAUCAAACAGGAUUAGAUACCCGGGUAGUC